GAUGAAGAACGUAGCGAAAUGCGAUAAGUAAUGUGAAUUGCAGAAUUCAGUGAAUCAUCGAAUCUUUGAACGCACAUUGCGCCCGCCAGUAUUCUGGCGGGCAUGCCUGUUCGAGCGUCAUUUCAACCAUCAAGCCCCCGGCUUGUGUUGGGGACCUGCGGCUGCCGCAGGCCCUGAAAAGCAGUGGCGGGCUCGCUGUCACACCGAGCGUAGUAGCAUACAUCUCGCUCUGGGCGUGCUGCGGGUUCCGGCCGUUAAACCACCUUCAUAACCCAAGGUUGACCUCGGAUCAGGGAGGAAGACCCGCUGAACUUAAGCAUAUCAAUAAGCGGAGGA
RNAcentral lists this unclassified non-coding RNA (336 nucleotides) under soil metagenome. RNAcentral's name for it is "partial contains 5.8S ribosomal RNA, internal transcribed spacer 2, and large subunit ribosomal RNA". The stretch from base 1 to 120 matches the Rfam family "5.8S ribosomal RNA", at positions 35 to 154 of the family's 154-position model. The record is from RNAcentral.